Molecule: long non-coding RNA, 781 nt
Organism: Gigantopelta aegis
Lineage: Eukaryota; Metazoa; Mollusca; Gastropoda; Neomphalida; Peltospiridae
Exons: 3
Source: RefSeq, a predicted model, not a curated record
UUUAGUUCCUUUGUUAGAAGCUGGUGAAACUGCGAUUGUGUGCAGAACUUGUUGGUUCAGUUUUGCCUGUUUUAUAGGUAGUAUCAUCUACACAACUACGUUAUGAUGUUCGUGAUGACGCACAACAAAUAAAGGAAAAAGAAGAGAAGGAGAUAUCUACACAUAUGCUGUGAAGAUGUAUCCUGGUUAAAAGGAAACAUACAGACAACAAAAGAAGUGAUGAACACUGCCUAAACAGACAUCAGGGGUGGGAAUUCUUCUCGGAUCCACGGUUUUCCUCUCAUAGAACAUUGUGUUUCCUCGCAUUUUAAUCGUCCUUUCCUCCAAAAUGUGUCAGAUGGCACAGAUUUUAAUGUAGGAUUUCAAGAGUUUCCAGGACCCCUCUAGAUUUGCUCUUUUGUACAGUUCACCAAUUCCCACCCCUAAGACAUAUCUAACACUGACUAGACAGACAUAUUUAACAAUGUCAGUCAAUGGUGGUUAUAAAGGUCUUAAAUGUGAAGUCUGCUUAAAAUGCUUUCCGACGAAGAGAAAAUUAGAAGUACAUAUUCGCGUGCAUACUGGAGAGAAACCUUUCAAAUGUGAAAUGUGCACAAAAUGUUUUACAAGUAAAUCCAACUUAAGAAAGCAUAUGUCCAUUCAUAAUAAUGAAAAAGCUUUCAAAUGUGAAGUAUGCACAAAACGUUUUACACGCAAAUGCGGCUUGAAAGAACAUAUGUUUAUUCAUACAGGUGGAAAACCUUUCAAAUGUGAAGAGUGCACAAACAGUUUCACAAGCAGU